This 324-nucleotide ribosomal RNA is filed under the name Triticum aestivum (bread wheat). RNAcentral's name for it is "partial small subunit ribosomal RNA". Lineage: Eukaryota; Viridiplantae; Streptophyta; Magnoliopsida; Poales; Poaceae. The record is from RNAcentral.
AUGUUCAUGGAUCCGGGACGGCGGAUCCGGUACACUCCGACGCUCGGCGGGGACUACCCCGAGGACAGCGCCGGCUGGGGCGAGUUCUGGUUCAGGGGGAGGUCCGUGUUCCGUCUGAGGGACCAGCUGGUGAUGCGCACCAGCAUCAACCUGUACUACCAGAACGUCGCCAUCUGCGUCCGAGCGGGCCGCUACGGGAGGCUGACCCCGCUCGUCGUCGACCUGCCCCACGGCGGCUACGGCGAGACCCUCGAGAUUGUCAUCCUCGAGGACGAGACUCGUGCCUACGAUGAUCUGCGACACCCAGACGUCGACGCGGAGUAG